AUCGCUUCUCGGCCUUUUGGCUAAGAUCAAGUGUAGUAACAUUUAAGGUAAUUUACUGAUAUGUAUGUUCUUAUUGCCAUUUUAU
This is a non-coding RNA of Sus scrofa (pig), 85 nucleotides long. The record is from Rfam. Lineage: Eukaryota; Metazoa; Chordata; Mammalia; Artiodactyla; Suidae.